This 22488-nucleotide long non-coding RNA is filed under the name Hordeum vulgare. RNAcentral describes it as "long non-coding RNA (HVUL_LNC001333)". The record is from RNAcentral. Lineage: Eukaryota; Viridiplantae; Streptophyta; Magnoliopsida; Poales; Poaceae.
CAAGCGCGACCCCCAAGGUUAUUUAGUCGCCCCGCUUCUCCUCUCAACCCUAGCCUCACCAUUUCCAUCCUCCUCUUCCCCUCGCGCCGUCAGAUGGGUUACAGGGAUGCCGUCGGCAUGGGAGGGCUCAGGUGAGCUCGACACCACCACGAGGUCAACGCCUUCUUCCUCUCCGACAACGCCAAGAGCAUGCGGGGGUCGUGGGAGAUCCAUUCCCGCGGAGAGCGUGCAACGAGUACGACGACAUCGAUGACUCCACGACGGCCCCUUCUUCCUCCAGUCUGGCGAUCAUCGACAAAACCUCUGCGUCGUCGUUCCCCUCCGUCGAGCAGGCCGAUUCCUCAGACCUCUAGGUGAGCAUGCGCCCCGCUCCCCUCCGUCUUUAUCUGUUCUCUCUUCGUGUCCGUCGUGCACCGUUGCCGUGGUUAUCCGGCGAGGCACAUCAGUGCAGCUGCGUGCUUGCGAGCACCAGUGGGUGUCGGGGUCUUCCUCCCCCUCCACAGCGUUUCUAUUAGUGCAGAUCCCCCCUUCGUAGCUUCGAUGCGUGAGUGUGUGCGCGGUGUGACGUGCAGCUCCGGCGAGAGAGCACGUCGCCGACACUUCUCUGUCUAGCAGUGGAGAGACCAUGUUAGUUAUGUCUGGUGUGGAUCCCCCUAGCAGAGCAGAUCCACCACCCUAGCCUAGUGGCAACCGAACUAGGCAUACUCCACGGCAUCGUGGGUUCGAACCCCCUGGCGCCCCCUUUUUAUUUCGGUUGUUUUCUUGUGCAUGCAGAGUAGCAGCUCACCUUACCUGAAGCCCAGAAUAGUUCAGCUAGACCCGAGUGGCCUAGUGGUAGCGGGUGUGUGCGGGUGUGUGUGAGGUGCAGGGUUCGAACCACCCUGCACCUAUUUUUGUUGAGUGUAUUUUCCACUGUGUGUGUGUAUGUAGUGUGGCAGGGCCCACUUGUCACACUUGCUAGGGGGCCCCUGGUGCCUAUGACCAGUCGGGCCCCAUGCCAACUAUUGUUUUGUGUGUGUUGUGGUAUUAUUGAGCUUAUUCCCUUUUAGGCAUUAGUCCAUUUGGGGAAAUAGCCAGAUCUGGCGUAUCCCAUAAUAGGCAAGUUUUAACUUAUAGUUUGUUGUAGGAAUUGGGUGAUUUUUCUUUUUCAGAAUUGGGGGUAUUUUAUCCUUAGGUAUAUAGGAGUGUGAUAUAUGCUUUUGGGGUAUAAAAUCCCAAGGAUUCCAAUGAUGUUACUAGAUUCUGGUUUUGAGCGUUUCUGUAGAAGUCUCCUUGUGGUGAUGUGGCAAUAGUUUUAUCUGUGUAGGGUGGUUCAUGUGCAUGGUAAGAGAUAGUGCAUGCAUGCAUCAUUAUGUCUGUGGCAUCAUCUACUUGCUGGCAUUUAUUUCCUGCUUGUUUCCUUUGGGUAGCUACUCGGACCGGAAACGAGUUCGAAGAGUCCGGUGAGUUCGUGUAGGAAUAUCGUGAUCAGUUCCACUCUGAAGAAACCACAUGCAAGAUGAUCGUGACCUUGACACCGUUUCUAGCUUUGUUUCGCUUAGUGUUAGGUUUCAUUCGUUACAUCUCCGUUGCCUACCACAUGAUAUAUAAGCCAUCAAACAUUUCCAUGAAACCUCAAACACCUCCCCUCCUAGCAAAGAUUGUUUGGCUAAGUUAGGCUUGCUCAACCACUAAAUUGUUAGUGUUGCUAGUUGCAGGUGCCAGCUGGUCCAUGUGAUAACAUGGGCAUUUGAUAUCAUCAUAUUUAAUUGCUAUUUAAUUAAUGAACAUAUAUACUUGGCAAUAACGGAAGGCCUAGCCUUUUGCCGGGUGAUUUGUUCCGUUGUUGCCACCUUAGUUUCGGCUAUCGGUGUUUUAUUCCUUAACUGAGCGAUCCUAACACGUUCGGGGUUGUUAUGGGGACCACCUUGAUAAUUCGUUUAGAUUAAAUCUUCUCCAGCCAUGCCCAACUUUGGUGUUAAAUUUGCUAAUAACUUAAUAAAAAGCAUAGGGAAUAGCUACCCUGAGGAAUUAAUCAACAACCCGGGUCAGAGCUCCUCAUGAGUGUUGGUCCAACCUGAGUGAUGUCCGGCGCCCCCUGGUCACCCAGGGUUUAGCCAACCCGAAGUCUAGCUCAUCCGGUCGUGCCCUGAGAACGAGAUACACGACUCCUAUCGGGACUAUCGACACGCGGGGCGGCCUUGCUGGAUUAGUUUUACCUUUUACGAGAUAUCUUGUGCAUUGGGAUUCCGGUGAGACUUUGGGUCUUCUCACAGUUGAGGUUUUUCCACUAAGGAAUCGGACGAGAUCACGAGUUUCGUGGUAGAGGAUUACUAUGCGGCCUCUGGUAAUUUGUGAUGGACUAGUUGGAGCACCCGUGCAGGGUUAAAUCUUUCGGAAAGCCAUGCCUGCGGUUAUGUGGCAAACAUGGAUAUUUUGUUAACAUCCGGUUCUAGACAACUUAAAGUAAUUCAAAUAAAAGUUGCCAACUGAGUGUGUAACCGUGUCUGUUUCCUUCAGAGCUCCUUCUCUAAUCGAGAACAGAGCGGGGUUAUGAAUGACGUAAGUAGGUGUUCAGGAUCACUUAGUGAUCAAUCUAGUCUUCGACCGUCUUACAUAGACCACCAUAUGUUAUCCCUGUUCUUCGUAAGUUAACCACCAUCUAUGCUUAGGAUACUGCAAACUCAAACACUUAACCUACCUCACCUAUUUAACUUAGUUAGACUCGAUACCAAGGUCAUGAGAUUGCUGAGUCCUCGUGGCUCACAAUUUACUACAAACCCCCAUAGGUAUAGGUACCCCACACGCAGGUGUUUCCGAUGAUAACCAGCUGAGGUGGGAGUUCGACGAGGAUAGUGGCAGGCUGGAUGUGACGUAUCCCGAGGACUAGAGGUGCAUGUUCGUGAUCAUGGGACUAGCCAGAUGGGAUAGCAUGAUUUUUCCGUUUAUCUUGUCCGUAGUCGGACCCUCCUUUAUGUAUUUAUAAUGAAUACUUGUGUGGAUUGUAAUUUAGCAUGUGGCGAGUGUAAGCCGAAUCUUAUACUCAUCUCUCUAUUUAUGUAAUGGCAUUGCUAUCCUAGUUGCAAUACACUUAGAUGGGACCCUUUCCCCUUUUGAGGCCUCGUCCCCAAAUAAGGAAAGUGCCGCAUCUUGGUCGUUACAAGUUGUUAAUCAGAGCCUUACGACCAUAGGAGCCUUUGUGUGAUCGAACUUGGCCGAGUCGAGUCUAGCAAAAACUAUUUUGAGUCUUAGUUAUAUCGGAGAGUAGGUUUCUUUUUUCUCUUCUUCUAUGCUCUCAUGAUGCUCGUGACUUGGGAAAUUUUAAUUCUACUGCUCUUCUUGCUCGAAAAAAAUUUAGGAUCACGCGGAUAUUUUGAAAUCUAUAUGAUAUCGAUGUGAUGGAGUUCUGUCUUGGUGCCUCCUGCUGUGUUGAUUUUAUUCCGGGGAGUUGAGCUCCAGGGAAUUCUUGAGCACAUCAUUAUCAUUCAGAUUUCUUAGUAUCUCAUGAUGAAGGAUGUUUGAAAUUGAUUCAAUACUAGCAGUGGCGAGAGGAGUGUGGCUUCCCCAGUACUGGUGCAGAUAGGUCCGGAUGUAUCGCCAUACUUAGUAUCGUUGUGAUUACGAGGAUAUGAGAUAGAUGAACUUCCAAGAUUUUGGUUAUGUGUUGACGGAUGUGAUACACUAGAAGGGUUAGAUGCUAGGAGUUGAGUGAUAUAUUACUCCUUGUAUCCGUGGACCAGAUUGCAUGACCAGAAAUUUCGGGAGUUCUUAGGUGGGAAUUCAGGUAGUUACUUAUAGGACAUUCCUCCAACAGAUGCAUGAUGUGAGGUUUUGAUUCGACAUCUAGUGGAUUCGUUUGUUCAUGGUCAUCUUACAAUGGUUCUCGUUGUGUCUAAAAGUGUCCUUUGUAACGACUAAGAUGCGGUCCUUUCCAAUUUAGGGAACGAGGCCCCGAAUUGUAAAGAAGCGCAUCUAAGCGUUUCGCAAGCACGGUAAUGCUACUCCGACAACAGACCUUUCCUGGUACGGCGCCAGGAAUCAUGUUGCUACGGCUACGCCUUUAGGGAAUUCCUUGGCAAAUAUGCAAAGGAUUUGCCCCCGGCCUUGGAGCCUUGCGUUGGUGUUCCCUUGAAGAGGAAAGGGUGAUGUAGCACAGCGGCGGUAAGUAUUUCCCUCAGUUUUGAGAACCAAGGUAUCGAACCAAUGGAAGAUCUCGUCAAGUCACAAGUACCUGCACAAACACAAAGAGCUUGCACCCAACGCUAUGAAGGGGUUGUCAAUCCCUUAUAGAUUGUUUGCAAAGUGAGAACUGAAAGCAAAGAGUAAACAGAGCAAAGUAAAAGUGAAAGUGGAAACGAUAGUUGUGAAUAGACCCGAGGGCCGUAGUGUUCACUACUGGCUUCUCUCAUGAAAGCAAGUAGACGGUGGGUGAACGAAUUACUGUCGAGCAAUUGAUAGAACCGCGCAAAGCAGUGACGUUAUCUAAGGCAAUGAUUACAUAUAUAGGCAUCACGUCCAAAACAAGUAGACCGAUACUUUCUGCAUCUACUACUAUUACUCCACACAUCGACCGCUAUCCACCAUGCAUCUAGUGUAUUAAGUUCAUGGGAAUAGAGUAACGCCUUAAGCAAGAUGACAUGAUGUAGAUGGACAAUCUCAUAUCUACGAGAAAAGCCCAUCUUGUUACCCUUGAUGGCAACAACACAAUGCGUGCCUUGCUGCCCCUUUUGUUACUGGGAAAGGUCACCACACGGUAUGAACCCAAAACCAAGCACUUCUCCCAUUGCAAGAAUCAUAGAUCUAGUUGGCCAAACAAAACCCAAGACUCGGAGAUACUUACAAGGAUAUCAAAUCAUGCAUAUAAGAAAUUAGCAAAGACUCAAAUAUAAUUCAUAGUUAAUCUGAUCACAAAUCCACAAUUCAUCGGAUCUCGACAAACACGCAGCCAAAGAGGAUUACAUCGGAUAGAUCUCCAUGAAGAUCAUGGAGAACUUUGUAUUGAAGAUCCAAGAGAGAGAAGAAGCCAUCUAGCUACUAACUACGGACCCGUAGGUUUGAACUAGACUACUCACGACUCAUUGGAGAGGUGAUGAUGUUGAUGUAGAAGCCCUCCAACUCCAAAGUCCCCUCCGGCAUGGCACCGGGAAGGGUCUCCAGAUGAGAUCUCGCGGAAACGGAAGCUUGCGGCGGCGGAAAAAUGUUUUCGUGGAUGCCCUGAUUUUUUUCUGGAUUUUAGGGAAUGUGUAGGCGAAAGAGCUAGGUCAGGGGGCGCCAAGGAGGCCAUAGGCCUAGUAGCCGCCGCCCCCCUGGUGGCGGCUACAGGGCUUGUGGCCCCCCUGUGGCUCUCGUGCCUUUGCCCUGAAGUCCCGUGAUCUUCUUCCGUUCUGGAAAAAUUUAUUUCGGGGAUUUUAUUCCGUUUGGACUCCGUUCCAAAAUCAGAUAUGAAAAGAGUCAAAAACACGGAAAAAACAGGAACUAGCACUUGGCACUGAAUUAAUAAGUUAGUCCCAAAAAAUAUAUAAAACGUAAACAAAACAUCCAAAGUUAACAAGAUAACAACGUGAAACCAUAAAAAAUUAUAGAUACGUUUGGGACGUAUCAAGCAUCCCCAAGCUUAACUCCUGCUCGUCCUCGAGUAGGGAAGUCAUAAAGAAUGAAUUUUUGAUGCUUUCAUGCUACCUAGCAUACAUGUCCUUUGUAACUCCUCUUAUGUGACGUGAAUGUUAAGAUCAAUUAGAUUCAAAACAAUAGUUUGCUAUUGACGUGGAGACAAUAAUAAUCAACAAACUAGCAAGGUAACCAUGAACUUUCAAAAUAACAAGGCCAAAAGAAAGUUAUCCCUACAAAAUCAUAUAGUCUAGCUAUGCUCUAUCAUCAUUGCACAACGAAUUAAAUCAUGCACAACCCCGGUAUUGGCCAAGUAAUUGUUUUCACACCUUUACUUCUCAAACUUUUUCAACUCUCAUGCAAUACAUGAGCGUGAACCCCGGUAUUGGCCAAGUAAUUGUUCCCGAUCGAAGAGAGGUCUUUAGAGGGGACAAUCACGGUUACGCACACAGUUGGCAAUUUUAUUAGAUUAUGUUCAAGUUAUCUAUAACCGGUUUUUAACAAAUAUUCCAAGUUGCCACAUAACCGCGGGCACGGGUUUCCGAAAGAUUAAACCCUGCAGGGGUGCUCCAACUUGUCCAUCCCAAACGGUCACGGGCCGCAAAGUAAUCCUCUUUCACGAAUCUCGUGAUCUCGUCGGAUUCCUUAGAGGAAAACCUCAACUAUGGGGAGAACCAAAGCUUCACCGGGAUUCCUAUACGCAAGAUAUAUCGCUAAGGGAAGACAAGACUAGCAGGACCUCCCGUCGUGUCGACGACCCCGAUAAGAGCCGCGUAUCUCAGUCUCAGGACACGACGGAUGAGCUAGACGUCGGGAUGGCUAAACCUCUGGGUGACCAGUGGGGCCCCGAACAUCGCUCAGGUGGGGCCAACACUCAUGAGGAGCACUGGCCCGGGUUGUUGAUUAAAUUCCUCGGGGUAGCUAUUCCCUAUGUAGAUUAUUAUUUAGUGAUUAGCAGAUUAAAACCAAUGUUGGGUCGUGCCGGACAAGUCUUAACACUACACGAUUUAUCAAGGGGGUCCCCAUAACAACCCCGAACGUGUUAGGAGCGAUCAGUUAUGGAAUCAAACACCGGUAGCCGGUAACUAUGGCGGCAAUAACGGAACAAAACACCCGGCAAAAGGCUAGGCCUUCCGUUAUUUACCAAGUAUAUAGGUGGAUUAAUUAAAUAUCAAAUUUAACAUAAUGAUAUCAAACUCAUGUUAUCACAUGAGACAAUAGCACCUACAACUAGCAACGCUAACAUUAGAAGUUGAGCAAAGCCUACUUAGCCAUUCAAGAUUUGCUAGGAGGGGAAAGUGUUUGGGUUUCAUGGCAAUAUUAGGAGCCAAUUAUUUCAGUGGUAGGCAGCGAGCAUAUGACGGAGAAACGGGAAACUAGCAUAACAAGUCUAGAGAUGGAAUCAAGGUCAUAUCAUCUUGCCUGUGAUGUCCUCAACUUGGAACUGCUCUUGUUCGUCCUGCACGUACUCUCCCAGAUCCACGUACUCGUUCUCCGAUCCCGGUGCUACCCAACAUAAAAAUAGCAUCCAAUGAACAACAACAACACAAGAUGCAACAAGCACAUGAUGCAUGAGAUGAAUAUGAACAUGCAUCUCUAUUCUAGUCACUAGCACAAGCAUGAGAAGCAAAUACAAGUUCCUGGACAGAACUGCACUCUAAGCUAUCUUGACAUGCAUGAGAAUGACAUGAACAGAUGCGUCACGUGAAAACGAUGCAAAAACAUAUAAAGAAUGUAACGAACGGAGCUAUGGUUCAACGGGAAACAACGAAACAAUAAUUGAAGUCAUUCGUAUCAAAAUCAUCACAACACACUCCAAUGGCAUACUUCUGGUAUUCCCAGGUUGCCAAAACACAAAACAAACAAGAAUGGAUGGGGUGGUGCAAAGAAUAUCACCACACCAUCAACUAUGCACUCACAAGCAUCAAAAUAUCAAAACCAUACAGUCUGCCAUAAACAGCAACAUAGCAUUUUGAGGGAUACAUGCAAAGCACCUACAGCCACCCAAAUAUGCCAAAUAGGAUAUGUGGCAAAAGCUAAUCAAAAGUACUACAAGCAUGACCAAAAGGCUAAUACAAAGGAGUUUCACACAGAAAGUUACACAGGUGCUAACUUGGACAAAAAUAUUAGUUUUCAAGGACUUAGUGAAAAUUCCAGAUUCUCACCAGCUGUUUAUGCUCUGAAGCAUUUUGACAGCACCCAAAACAAUAUCUACAGGAUUCCAAAUGGAAUGAAAAUUGCAAAGAGCUAGACAAACACAAAAGCUACAACUUUCCAGUUGAUAGCAAAGGCUGAUUCACAACACAUGGCCUUCUACAAGCACAACAACAGGAGAAGAAAAUAUAAGCAGAUUCUCAGACUUAGUGAAAAUCACAGAUUUUCACUAAACUGGAAUUUUAGCCACAUGCCUACUUUGACUAGGCACAACUUGCACCCCUGAACUCCUAAGCAUGAAACAAAACCAACAUGUGGUAGAGGGGUUCACCCUCUACUGCCACAACAAAGAAUCAACCUCUUGGGCUCAUCACAUCACAUGGAACCAAGUUGUAAACAUGGAACAAAACUGAAAUCUAUCAUUCCCAGAAUUGUUCCAAAGUGGAAACUGACUUCACCAAUGGAUUCCUGGGAUGAUUCUACCCCAAAAACAUAUAUAAUACAUAGGCACUUGCGUAAAAUAAUUAGGCACAAACUUGAAAAUAAAAUCUACAUGGAAUCACAUAGAGUGAAUAGUGCAUCAUCACGUGUGCUUCCACUAGUUCAUCACUUAUACAUGCUCUUGCACAUGUCCACAACACCAAUGGUGCACAUGAGGGGUAAACCUCAUGCUCAUGUGCCUUAGCACUCCACCACACACUUACAUGUAUCAAGCACAACAUAAUAUAAACACCUACACAUGCUAAUGAGAACACACACACUAGAUUACACCACAUCAUCUAUACACCUACACAUAUAAACAUGCGCAUGUGCUCAUCAAGGCACUCCAUGCCUUUAGCAUGUGUGGGACACACACACACCAUCUCAUACAACAACACAAGAGCACCUACAUAUACACAAGGUAGGUGAGGGGGAAACCCACACACACACUCACAUCACAUACUUGCACAAGAUAGGACAUAAGUCCAUCAACAUGCACAUGGGAAAACACUCACACAUGCAUCUCAUUCUAGCCUAGUGCAUGCACACACACACACAUGACUAGAUCACACUCAAACAUGAGCUAACUCUCAUAACACUUAUGCACACAAGGUCCUUCACAUACAUAUUAACAUAGCUAGCAAAAUACUAGGAACAACAUGCUGUUUGGAGGCAAGCAAAAAAAUACCCCACUUGAAGAUCUAGCACACCACAUACAUCUAUGCCAGCAUACAAUGCAAAAACGGAAAAGAAUGCAACAAAAAAAAUAAUGGGGAGGGAUUCGAACCCAGACCCCCUGGUUACCAACACUGAACCAGCACCACCCUGCUCCUGCGCAUGCACUUGACAGAUACAGCGAAGAGAGCAGGUUAUGCUCUCUGCUGCAGUUGUUGUGCCGGAAAAAUGAAAAACAAAAGGUGAGCCGAGGGGGAAUCGAACCCACGACUAGCCACUGCGCCAAAACUACCACUACCACUCUGCUGCUCGUUGGGAUCUUAACAGGUGAGGGGAGUAAUCUCUCUUGAGCACCCCCUCAUGCCUAUCCUCUGCCCGACGGUGGCCGGAACAGGGGACGGUGCUCGCCGGCGAUACACUUUAAAUCAAGCUACGGCUACUCGAUGGAAGGAAGCCCUUCCUCCCAUGGUUCCAUUUCACCUACUAGCACUACUCGAGAGGGCCUGCAGCGACGGCUCGACGAGGCACGACGGCUCCGGCGACAGAGAAGGAACGGCGUCAACGCUACGGCCUACUGCUCGUGAUCUGGGACAGGGAAGAAGGGGAGAUGGAUCUACCUCACCUACUGGACGAGGCGGUUGCGUUGGCCGAAGAGGAAGUAGAGGAAGAAGGGGAAGGAGCCGCUCGGGGAAGAUCGUCGGGGAAGAAGGCCGCCGUCGUCGAGGAGAUGUAGCAGUGCCGAUCUUGUCGUCCUAGCCACGGGAAUGGGCUCCUGGAGGGUCCCGCGUGCUCGCCAAGGAGAUGGAUAGGCCGCAGGUGUACGGGCGCGACGGCGAGGAUCUUCUCAGCUUGCGGUCAUGGCGGAGGAGGUCGAUCCCCUUACCUGGUGUCGGCGACAGAGAGGGAGAAUGGGAUGGGAUGGAGGUGGCGGCGCGAGAGAGAAACCCUAGGCUGCACGGACACUAAUGGGGGAUUAUAUGGAGGAGGAGGAGGUGAGGGCAGCGCCUCGCGUCCGUGACGCCGUCUGUUGCUGCGGCUCUCUCUGCCUCUGUGAAGGAGCCUCACGGAGGAGGAGGACACGGAACGGCGUCUACACGAGAAGGAGGGGAGCUGGGCCUGCUAGUGGGAGGAGGACCACUAGUUGGUGCCAGAUAGAAGAAAAUUUAAAUCCCUGGGGUUUGCAAAUUACAAAAUAACCAGAGAAAGAAAAUAAAGCAAAGUCAAAUCUGUUGGGGUUAAAAACAAAACAAAAAUGCCCCUGGUCAUAAUGAUUUAUGACCUAUUUAAAUUAAUUGGAAAACAAAUAUUAGGAGCAACUAAAUAUUAAUAAAACAGAAUUUAUUGGACCGCUUUUGUGAAUACUAGCACCUUUAAAACAUAUUUUCAAAUCAGCAAAUCACAUCCUCACAAUCACCAAUAAUACAUGCUAAAACAUAGGCAUUUUUGAAAUAGGGAUGGGGCAAGAGAAUCUUGGCUUGAGAUAAAUAGAGAGGGGGUUGUUUUGAAACCCUAGUGCAAACCACAUAGUGCUAACUACUAUCCAACCACAUCCACAUCACUCCACUUAUCACACAUAUCAUCAUCACAUCACAACUCAUGUCACCACACCUCCACAUAUGAUCACAAGGCAACAAACACAAAGCAUGGAAUGGAUGGAAUGCAUGCAUGCAAAGGAAAAGAAAUCAAGGUGACAUCACAUGAAAUCAUAUGCAUUGAACUCUCAUAACAAUGACAAGUUGGACCCACAUAGAUAAGGUUCCAAAUAUGGCAAGUUACACACUUGGGGCAUUACAUCCUUGUAGCUUGCUACGACUCGGGGAUGCUUCGUAUGUCGUGUGCACUGCCUUAUACAUGAUGGCUACUGUAGGAUCGAGCCCAUGUGAUCAUAUCCAUGAAAAUAUCGGAUGGAAUCUCUGUCAUACAUUUGUUCCGAGAAAUCCUAGCUCAUACUUGGUUUACAAGUGGCUUUGAAUCAGAUGUUGUGGACAAUUGUUUGGACUCUAAUUUGCAUGAUUUGAAUGGAACUAACCUGGACUGACGCUGUUUUCAGCAGAAUUUCCAUGGUGUUGUUUUUUGCAGAAAUAAAAGUUCUCGGAAUGUCGUGAAAACUUACGGAGAUUUUUUCUGGAAUAAAAAAAACCUACGCAAAGAUCCACCGGAGGAGGUGGACCAGUGGGCCACAAGCCCACAGGCCGCGGCCACCCCCCUGGCCGCGCCGUGAGGGCUUGUGGGGCCCACGUGGCUCCACUGCCCCCAAACUCAGCUCUAUAUCUUCCGUCUCACCCGGAAAAAAAAUCAGAGAGAAGGUUUCAUCGCGUUUUGCGAUACGGAGGCGCCGCCACAUCCUGUUCUUCAUCUGGAGGGCAGAUCUGGAGUCCGUUUCGGGCUCCGGAGAGGGGAAAUCAUCUCCACCGUCAUCAUCAAGCUUUCUCCAUCAACAAUUCCAUGAUGCUCUUCAUCGUUCGUGAAAAAUCUCAUUGUAGGCUUGCUGGACGGUGAUGAGUUGGAUGAGAUCUAUCAUAUAAUCGAGUUAGUUUUUGACGGGGAUUGAUCCCUAGUAUCCACUAUGUUCUAGAUUGAUGUUGCUACUACUUGGCUAUGCUUAAUGCUUGUCACUAGGGCCUGCUACUGCAACAAAAGACCUUCCAAUGGCGCCAAAAAUAGGCACGUUGACGGGAGAAUACUUGACUUGAUCCUUCUGUUGCGGCUACGCCUUAAGGGACUUCCUAGGCAAGUAUGCAAAGGAUUUCCCCCGUGGCCUUGGAGCCUUGCAUUGGUGUUCCCUCGAAGUGGAAAGGGUGAUCUAGUGUAGCGGUGGUAAGUAUUUCCGUCAGUUUGAGAACCAAGGUAUCAAUCCAGUGGAGGAGUAUCUCAAGAUCCUGCACAAACACAAAAGCUUGCUCCCAACGCUAUGAAGGGGUUGUCAAUCCCUUAUAGAUUGUUUGCCAAGUGAGAACUAAAAGCAACAAAGUAACAAAGAAAAGUAAAAGCGGAGGUGUAAACGAUGGAUGUGAAUAGACCCCGGGGCCGUAGUGUUUACUAGUGGCUUCUCUCAUGAAAGAAAGUAGAUGAUGGGUGAACAAAUUACUGUCGAGCAAUUCAUAGAACCGCACAAAGUCGUGACGAUAUCUAUGUCAAUGAUUAUAUCUAUAGGCAUCACGUAAAAAACAAGUAGACCGAUACUUUCUGCAUCUACUACUAUUACUCCACACGUCGACCGCUAUCUAGCAUGCAUUUAGUGUAUUAAGUCCAUAAGAACAGAGUAAUGCCUUAAGCAAGAUGACAUGAUGUAGAGGGAUAAUCUCAAACCAAUGAUGAAAACCCCAUCUUUUUACCCUUGAUGGCAACUACUUAAUGUGUGCCUUGCUGCCCCUACUGUCACUGGGACAGGUCACCACAUGGUAGAACCCAAAACCAAGCACUUCUCCCAUUGAAAGAAUCAUAGAUCUACUUGACCAAACAAAACCCAAGACUCAGAGAGACUUACAAGGAUAUCAAAUCAUGCAUAUAAGAAAUCAGCAAAGACUCAAAAUAUAUCAUAGAUAAUCUGAUCACAAAUCCACAAUUCAUCGGAUCUCGACAAACACACCGCCAAAGAAGAUUACAUCAGAUAGAUCUCCAUGAAGAUCAUGGAGAACUUUGUAUUGAAGAUCCAAGAGAGAGAAGAAGCCAUCUAGCUACUAACUACGGAUCCUUAGGUCUGAAGUGAACUACUCACGAGUCAUUGGAGGGGCCAUGAUGAUGAUGAAGAAGCCCUCCAACUCCAAAGUCCCCUCCGGCUGGGCGUCGGGAAGGGUCUCCAGAUGAGAUCUUGCGGAAACGGAAGCUUGUGGCGGCGGAAAAGUAUUUUCGAGGCUCCCAUGAUUUUUUGCUGAAUUUUUGGGAAUAUAUAGCCAAGGAUCUAGGUCAGGGGGCGGUCAGGGAGGCCACAAGCCCUGACACCGCCGCCUCCCCCUGGUGGUGGAGUGGGAGCUUGUGGGCUCCCUGGAGCCCACCUGGCUUGGCCCAGAGGCCCCCUGAUCUUCUUCCGUUCGGGAAAAAAUCAUUUUGGGUUUUUUAUUCCGUUUGGACUCCGUUCCAAAAUCAUAUCAGAAAAGAGUCAAAAACACAGAAAAAACAGGAACUGGCACUUGGCACUGAAUUAAUAAGUUAGUCCCAAAAAAGAUAUAAAAGGUACAUAAAACAUCCAAAGAUGACAAGAUAACAGCGUGAAACCAUCAAAAAUUAUUGAUACGUUUGAGACGUAUCAAGCAUCCCCAAGCUUAACUCCUGCUCGUCCUCGAGUAGGGAAGUGAUAAACAAUGAAUUUUUUAUGCUUUCAUCCUACCUAGCAUAGGUGUCCUUUGUAAUUCCUCUUAUGUGACGUGAAUGUUCAGAUCCAUUAGAUUCAAAACAUUAGUUUUCUAUUGACGUGGAAACAAUAAUAAUUCAAGCAAACUAGCAAGGUAAUCAUGAACUUUCAAAAUAACAAGGCCAAAAGAAAGUUAUCCCUACAAAAGCUUAUAGUCUGGCUAUGCUCUAUCAUCAUUGCACAACGAAUUUAAAUCAUGCACAACCCCGGUAUUGGCCAAGUAAUUGUUUCACACCUUUACUUUCUCAAACCUUUUCAACUCUCACGCAAUACAUGAGCGUGAGCCACGGUUAUAGCACUAUAGAUGGUGUGGAAUGUGGUGGAGGUUGCAAGACAAAAAAGGAGAAGAUAGUCACAUUAACUAGGCAUAUCAAUGAGCUGUGGAGAUGCUCAUCAAUAUAUAUCAAUGUGAAUGAGUAGGGAUUGCCAUACAAAUGAUGCACUAGAGCUACGAGUAUGUGAAAGCUCUUAAAGAAAACUAGUGGGUGUGCAUCCAACUUGCUUGCUCACGAAGACCUAAGGCAACUUUGAGGAAGCCUAUCAUUGGAAUAUACAAGCCAAGUUAUAUAAUGAAAAUUUCCCACUAGCUAUAUGGUGGUGACAAAAUGAGAGACUCUCAAUCAUAAAGAUCAAGGUGCUUAAAAUUCAGAAGUGUGGAAAAAGUCGUAGCAUUGUCCCUUCUCUCUUUUUCUCUCAUUUUUUUUGGUGGGCUCUUUGGCCUCUUUUUUUCCUUUUUUUUGGUGGUCUUCUUUGGCCUCUUUUAUUUCCUCACAUGGGACAAUGCUCCAUUAAUGAUGAUCAUCACACUUUCAACUCAAAGCUUAGAGCAACUAUGACUCUAUAUGGAGUGCCUUCGGUAGUGUACCGUGGCAAUGAUCUAGCAUGGCAUAGACAUCAAUGGAAACAUCAUGCUAGCUAUCUUAGGAUCAUGCAAUGGCAAUGUAGACGUGGUGGCACAUGUCAUGGUGGUAGUUCCAUGGCAAUAUAUCUCGGAAUGACUUUGAAAAAGGCAUAGUAGGUAGGUAUGGUGGCUGUUUUGAGGGAGGCUAAUGGUGGGUUUUGUGCACCGGCGAAAGUUGCACGGCACUAAGAAUAUAGUGAUGGUGGUAGGUGAAAGUGCAUCUAAACCAUGGACUCAACAUUAGUCAUGACGAACUCAUAUACUUGUUGCAAAAGUUUUAUUAGUAAUCGAAACAAAGCAUUCAACGCAUACUCCUAGGGGAAGGGUUGGUAGGUAUAAACCAUCGCGUGAUCCCGACCGCCACGCAAAGGAUGACAAUCAAUAUACUAAUCAUGCUCAGGUUUCAUCACAUAGCGGUUCACCAUACGUGCAUGCUACGAGAAUCACUAACUUCAACACAAGUAUUUCUAGAUCCACAACACCUUACUAGCAUGACUUCAAUAUUACCAUAACCACAACUCAAAACUAAUUGAGAUGAAUCAAACUUCUCUAACUAUUCAAUGCACAUGAAGGUGGAAGUUUUCGUAUCCCUUUGGAUAACUACCCAUUUUGAGAUUACUUUCAAAGCAUAGAUCAACUACCAAGCCACGCACCGCUGUGCUCUAAAAGAUAUAAGUGAAGCACAUAGAGCAAAAGUAUCUAGCUCAAAAGAUAUAAGUGAAGCACAUGUGAGCUGAAUUGUCUACCAAAAGAUAUAGGUGAAGCUCGACAAAAUCACGGUGUGUGCAUGUCUCUCUCUCUAGGUGUGAAGCAAGGAUGAUUGUGACACAACAAAAAUAAAAGACUCCUAUGAUACAAGACGCCCCAAGCAAAAACACAUAACAUGUGGUGAAUAAAAUAUAGCGCCAAGUAACGUUACCGAUGGAUUGAAGACGAGAGAGGGGAUGCCUUCCCGGGGCAUCCCCAAGCUCAGGAUUUUACGGCAUUGUUGAAUAUCUUGGGGUGCCUUCGGCAUCCCCAAGCUUGAGCUCUUGCCACUCUUUAUAUCUUUGUCCAUAAGAACUUCACCCAAAACUUGAAAACUUCACAACACGAAACUUAAACAGAAUCUCGUGAUAACAUUAGUACAAGAAAGCAAACCACCACUUCCUUAGGUACUGUAGCAAACUUAAAUUAUACUUGUGCUGAUGUUGGGUUACUGUACUUUCAAUCUUCCAUGGCUAAUACCCCCCGAUACUAUCCAUAGUUUCAUCAAAAUAAGCAACCAACACAACAAAAACAGAAUCUAUUAACAGCAGACCAGUCUGUAGCAAUCUGUAUAUUUCGUAUACCUCUGGUACUACAAAAAUUCUGAACAAUUACGACAGUAUGAAGAAUUUGCGUAUCAAUCAGCAGCAAGAAGAAUCAACUCAAAAGCUCUUACAGCAAAACAAUGAAAAUUAUUUUCGUGAGCAGAAAGUUUCUGUCUUUUCCAACAUGACCAAACGAUCAUCCCCAAGACUAAUCAUAACGGUUUUGCUUGGCACAAACGCAAAAAGAAACACAAAAAACACAAUUUUAACAUAAUCAUGAAAGUGUGGAAAACACAAAACAGAAAGAAAAAGGAUAGAUUCGUUGGGUUGCCUCCGAACAAGCGCUUUUGUUUAACGCCCUUAUCUAGGCAAAAAGUGAUGGAAUCACGUAUAGUCAUCUUUGGUGCUCAAACCAUAGGUAGCCCUCAUCAUAGAUUCAUAAGGCAAGCUUAUUUUCUUUCUAGGAAAGUGCUCCAUGCCCUUUUUUAAAGGAAAUUGAAAUCUAAUAUUCCCUUCCUUCAUAUCGAUGAUAGCACCAAUAGUCCUUAGGAAAGGUCUACCAGGAAUAAUGGGACAUGAAGGAUUGCAAUCUAUGUCAAGUACAAUGAAAUCAACGGGUACAUAGUUCUUAUUUGCAACAAUAAGAACAUCAUCGAUCCUUCCCAUGGGUUUCUUGACAGUAGAAUCCGCAAGAUGCAAAUUAAGAGAACACUCUUCAAUCUCAUGAAAACCAAGAAUAUCACAUAAAGACUUUGGAAUCGCGGAAACACUAGCACCCAAAUCACAGAAAGCAUUGCACUCAUAGUUUUUGAUUUUGAUUUUGAUAGUAGGUUCCCACUCAUCAUGAAGUUUUCUAGGUAUAUAGACUUCUAUUUCGAGCUUCUCUUCAAGAGAUUUCAUCAUAGCAUAUACGAUAUGCGCGGUAAAGGCUUUGCUUUGGCUAUAAGCAUGUGGAGAGUUUGCAAUGGAUUGCAUGAAAGAAAUGCAUUCAAACAAGGAGCAAUUAUCAUAAUUGAAUUCCUUCAAAUCCAAAGUGGGAGUUUCAUUACUACCCAAAAUUUUGACUUCUUCUACUCCACUCUCCACACCUUUAUCAUCAAGAUAGGUGGACUCCGAAUCAUUGAGGCGUUUUUCAACCAAAGUGGGUUCAUAUCCAGCCCCUCCAUAAGUAGGUUUGACGCGCGAAAACAAAGAUGCAAGAGGAGACACACCAAGCACUUUAAGAUCUUCGUGAUUUGCAUCACUAGAACGCACCCUUUUAAACCAUUCAUGUCUAGCGCGAAUUUUGGCGGUUCUUUCUUUGCUCUCAUUCAUGGCGAUACGCAUAGCUUUCAAAGUUUCAUCCAAGUUGACCUUGGGAGGAGCUCAUCUAACUUUCAAAGCAUCAAUAUCACAAGACAUCCUAUCAACGCUUUUAGCCAAAUCGUCUAUUUUGAGUAGUUUUUCCUCUAUGGACGCACUGAAAAUCUUUUGAGAGUUGAUGAACUCUUUGAUAUUACUCUCUAGAUCAGAGGGUAAUUUGUUGUGAUUUCCAUAAGUAUUGUUGUAGGAAUUGCCAUAAUUGUUAGAGGAGUUACUAGGAAAAGGCCUAGGAACAUAGUUUCCUCUAAAAGCAUUAUUGUUGCCAAAAUUGUUCCUACCAACCAAAUUCACGUCCAAACUAGCAUUGCUACUCUCAAUCAAAGAAGAUAAUGGCAAGCUAUUAGGAUCUACGGUAGCGUUUCUACUAGCAACCAAAUUCAUCAACUCGUCCGUCUUAGCACUAAGCGAGUUAAUUUCUUCUAUAGCGUGCACCUUUUUGCUAGCAGGCGACCUUUCAGUGUGCCACUGAGAGUAGUUGGUCAUGAUAUUGUCUAUGAGUUUUGUAGCGUCUCCUAACGUGAUUUCCAUGAACGCUCCACCUGAGGCGGAGUCCAAGAUAUUGCGAGAAGCGAAAUUCAAGCCAACGUAAAAGAUUUGUAUAAUCAUCCACAAACUCAAGCCAUGAGCGGGACAAUUUCUAAUCAUAAGCUUCAUCCUCUCCCAAGAUUGUGCAACGUGUUCAUGAUCAAGUUGCUUGAAAUUCAUGAUAUCGUUACGUAAGGAGAUGAUCUUAGCCGGCGGAAAAUACUUGGAUAUGUAAGCAUCUUUGCACUUAUCCCAAGAAUCGAUACUAUUUAUUUGCAAAGAAGAAAACCAAGUUUUUGCGCGAUCUCGCAACGAGAAAGGAAAAAAGUUUCAACUUAAUCACGUCAUUACCCACAUCUCUUUUCUUAUGCAUGUCACAAAUCUCAAUGAAGGUAUUGAGAUGGGAUGCGGCAUCUUCACUAGGAAGGCCAGAGAAUUUCUCUUUCAUAACAAGAUUCAGCAAAGCUGCGUUGAUUUCAUACGAUUCCGCACUAGCAGCGGGAGCAAUCGGACUACUAAUAAAAUCAUUAUUAUUAGUGAUCGAGAAGUUGCAAAGUUUGGUGUUUUCAACCAUGAUGACUUCAACAAACAAACAAGCACACAAGCAAGCGAGAAAACCGGCAAAGGGAAACGACAAAGGCAAAAGAAAACGGCGAAGGAGAAAGGCAAAUGAAAACGACAAAUGUGAAGUGGGGGAGAGGAAAACGAGAGGCAACUGGCAACAAAAGUAAAUGCAAGAGAAGAGUUUGCGAGACCUACUUGGAUAGAUCUUGAUUUCUUCUCCCCGGCAAUGACACCAUAAAUACUUCUGCUACUGCAACAAAAGACCUUCCAAUGGCGCCAGAAAUAGGCACGUUGACGGGAGAAUACAUGGCUUGAUCCUUCUGCUGCGGCUACGCCUUAAGGGACUUCCUAGGCAAGUAUGCAAAGGAUUUCCCCCGUGGCCUUGGAGCCUUGCGUUGGUGUUCCCUCGAAGCGGAAAGGGUGAUGUAGCGUAGCGGUGGUAAGUAUUUCCCUCAGCUUGAGAACCAAGGUAUCAAUCCAGUGGAGGAGUAUCUCAAGAUCCUGCACAAACACAAAAGCUUGCUCCCAACGCUAUGAAGGGUUUGUCAAUCCCUUAUAGAUUGUUUACCAAGUGAGAACUGAAAGCAACAAAGUAACAAAGCAAAGUAAAAGCGGAGGUGUAAACGAUGGAUGUGAAUAGACCCGGGGGCCGUAGUGUUUACUAGUGGCUUCUCUCAUUGUAGUGCCCCGGAUGUAAACCUACCCUAUUUGGACCUACUUCAUGUGGGACCACCUUGACUUUGUCAUGAGAGUUAUCUAUGCAUGUAUGAUUUCAUGUGUCACCUUGUGUUCUUCUUUUGCAUGCAUGCAUCCAUGUCAUACCUUUCUUACCAUGCCUUGUGUGCUUGCUUCUAUACCUUGCCAUGUCUUGGAGUGGGCCUUGUAAUUUCAUGUGUUGAUGUCAUGUGAUGAUGGUGUGUGGAGUGUAGGAGUGGUUGCUUGGGAUUUUCAAAGCUCAUUGCAAUUUCAAACCCUUUUUCCUCUCCUAUUAUCUCAUGUUCAAAAUUCCAUCUUCACAAAAGCUGUUUUAAAUGUCUGGUGUUUAGAGGUUAUUGUGGAGAUGAUGAUGUGAUGGUGUGGAGUUUUAUUUUGGUCUUGAGGGUGAAUAUAAAUCACAAAACAGUAUAAUUAAUUGCUGUUUUGUAUUUAUUUAAAUGCCCCAUAAAAUUCCUUUUGCAUUUUAUUUAAAAAGCUUAGGUAUUUUUAGGCCCAGGGUCAUUUUUGUUUUGAUUUUAUAAUCAGUAGUAGCCCUGUGGUUUUUAUUUUCUUUCUCUGUAAUUUAUCUAAUUAGAAAUAAAUCUCCAGGGCUGUUUCUCUAUUUUCUUCUCUGGUGGGCUUCCCCCCACUCAGAGAGGCCCAGUGUCUCCUCUCCCCCUCGCGCAGCGCAGCCCACCGCGUCCCUCUUCCUCCUCCCGUCGACGUCACGCUGUACGACUCCUCCUCCUCCACCGAUUUGCCAUGGCUUGAUCCUGUGGCUCAAGCGCCUCCCCCGAGGUAAUAUAAGGUGGAGGGAACCUUCCUCCUCCCCUAGGGUUCGCUCUCCUUCCCGCAGCGCCGCCACCACCUCCCUCCUUUUCUUCUCCCUCUCCCUGAUAAGUCCUCUGUAGAGUAGGAACAGAGAGAGAGAGAGAGUUCGGCCGCCGCGUCUACCCCGUCUACUCCAUUGAGCAGCGCCGGCGGCCAUGUCAAGGGGCACGGGGACGGUCCCCGCGCUCCAUUUUCGUCCUCGGUGAGGUCGAGGGUCAUCUACAACGCCGGCCAGGAGCACGUCAAGGCGCCUGCUCCGGUGUUCUGCUCCGUCUACCUCCGUCGUCAGCAACCGGCAGCAGGGCCUUCUCCCGCGCGCCUCCCUCCUCUCCGGCCGGCGUCCACCACCGAGCGGCUACUCCUUCUUCCCCCGAGGUGAGCCGGCCCUCUCCUCCCUUCGCCCUCGUUGGAUCCGACGAGUCGGUUGCAGGAAGUCCCUGCCGUGCGGUAGCACCAGGUGUUGAUGCAGUCUGGAGCUUUACAUGUUGUGUGCAGUAGCAGUAGCAGUAGGAAGUUCUUCCUCCUCGUGGUGCAGCAGCGUAGCGUCUUGUUCUCCCCGCGACGCAGCAGCAGUAGCAGCAGUGCGGUGCACCGGCGGCCUCGCUGUUGCCGGCGCACCUCCGUGCAGUGCAGGCACGCAGCAGCAGUAGUAUUUUUCCCAAUACUACUCUAGUCUGUGAGAAGCCGUUUCGUAGCCCAGUGGUAACUAGCGUUGCGUGCCUGUUGGAGGGCGCGGGUUCGAUCCCCCCUCGGCGCUAUUUUUGUUUUCUAUUUUUCCUGCACAGUAGCAUCAGGUACAUGUUAGCCUGAUUGCCUACCCUACCUUGUCAACGAAGUGGCAGUGGUGUAGUGGUAGGCUCUGUUGUUGUGUACCAGGAGGUACUGGUUUCGAUUCCCAGGAGCGUGAUGCAUAUUUCUGUUUUUUUGUUUGCUUUCCUUUUAUUUUUUGUUGCUUCCUUUUUCUUAGGAAUAGACAGCAAGGUGUCCUAUUUAAUAUUUUUCCUGCUGGUGUAGAUGGGUGCUGAUUGUGUUGUGUGUGUGUUUUGCACACUAAUAUGGUGAUAGAUGGUGUUGGUGGCUUAAGUGAUAUGUGUGUGCAUGUGGUCUUGUUAGUUUAUGUUGGUGUGAUUGCAAGUAGGCAUGUGUGCAUAGGGGUUGUAAGUGAAGUUGCUGGUGUAGGUAUGGAGAUGUGUUUGUUCUGAGUGCACACACUUGUGGUACCUACUAAAAGUGUUUGAGAGGUGAUGCUUCCAAGUUACUUGCUUAGCAUUUUUCCCCCUCGUGUUGUUCUCUGGUUUAAGAGCAUGAUGUUGAUGUAUAUGAUGUGCUUGACAUAUGUGUGUGUGGGGAACUUCCCCACCUUUGCAAAACUAUGCACCUUCACAUGUUUAUAUGUGAGAGGGCAUGGUGUUUGUGUGUGGGGAUAGUUUGGUAGAUGUGCUUGUGAUGUUGAUGUGCAUGACACAAACAUGGGGUUCAAACCCCCAUGUGACUUUUUCAUUGUGCACAUGAACCCAACCUUUGUAGUUGUUGUCUUAGUAGGAUACCUUAUGGAGUUGACAUAUUCAGAUUUGUUGCAAGUUUGAUCUUUGAUUCCAUCUCUAGACUUGUUAUGUUAGUUUCGUUUCCAUGUCAUAGUGCUCGCUGUCUACCACUGAAAUUAAAUUGCCUCUUGAAAUGCCAUGAGCCCAAACAUCGUUCUCCUUCCUAGCAAACUUGUGUGGCUAAGUAGGCUUGCUCAGCUACUAAUGUUAGCAUUGCUAGUUGCAGGUGUUUUUGACUCAUGUGAUAAAGAUGAGCUUGAUAUCAUUAUCUUAAAUUCUGUUAUUUAAUUAAUGCACCUAUAUACUUGGUAAAUGACGGGAGGCCUAGCCUUUUUCCGGGUGCUUUGUUCCGUUAUUGCCACCUUAGUUAUCGGUUACCGGUGUUUGAUUCCAUAAUGAUCGCUCCUAACACGUUCGGGGUUGUUAUGGGGACCCCCUCGAUAAAUCGCGUAGUACUAAGGCUUGUCCGGCAGGACCCAACAUUGCUAUUAAUUUGCUAAUCACUUAAUAAUAAACUGCAUAGGGAAUAGCUACCCCAAGGAUUUAAUCAACAACCCGGGCCAGUGCUCCUCAUGAGUGUUGGUCCAAACUGGGCAGACUAUGGGGCCACCACAGGGCAACCUGAGGUUUGGUAUACCUGUAGUGUGACUCAUCCGGCGUGUCCUGAGACUGAGAUAUGCGGCUCUUAUCAGGGUCGCCGACACGUCGGGAGGUCCUGCUAGCAUUGCCUUACCUUAGCGGUAUAUCUUGCGUAUAGGAAUCCCAGUGAAGCUUUGGUUCCCCCAGAGUUGAGGUUUUCCUCUAAGGAAUCCGACGAGAUCACGAGAUUCGUGAUAGAGGAUGCCUUUGCGGCCUGUGUUCGUUUGUGAUGGAGUAGUUGGAGCACCCCUGCAGGGUUUAAUCUUUCGGAAAGCCGUGCCCGCGGUUAUGUGGAAACUUGGAAUAUUUUGUUAACAUCCGGUAUUAGAGAACUUAAACAUAAACUAAUAAAACUGCCAACUGUGUGCGUAACCGUGACUGUCCCUUCGAAGAUCUCUCUUCGAUCGGGAACACGGUGGGGUUAUGAAUGCCGUAGGUAGGUGUUCAGGAUCACUUAGUGAUCAAGUAAUCCCGACCGCUAGCGUAGACCACCUUCACUUCUACUUUGCGUAAGUUAGCCACUUAAUCAAGCUUAGGAUGCUGCAGCCUGAUACACUUCACCCUUACCUUACCCAAUAACAUGACUAGUUCUGGCACCAAGGUCUUGGAUUGUUGAGUCCCCGUGGCUCACGGAUUCCUCCGAAACUCCCAGCAGGUACAGGUACCCCAGAGACAGAUGAUCCCGACGGCACCCAGCUGGCGUGGCAGUACGACGAGGAGACAGACCGCCUCUACGUGAACUAUCCAGAGGACUGAGGCGUGGUCGUGAUCGUGGGCCUGCAGGUAGGGUAGCAUAGCAUUUUCCAUGUGUUGUAGUCCGUAGCGGAACUACCUUGUUUGUAUCUGUGUUGUAUUCUGAGUUAUUAAUAAGAAGAUAGUUGAAUCCCG